AGACAAAUCCAAUAGAACACAAGGUCAGAAGGGCCUAUACUUCUAAAGGUUGAAAGAUUCUUUUUCAAAAGAUGAUCUAAGAAAUGUAGGACCAGUAGAUGCUCAAGUAUAUCUUGAAGAAAUGUCUUGGAAUGAAGGUUGGAAUUUUUUUUUUCUCUUGACAUUUAAAAAAAAAGGAAUUUUCUAUAAGAAAAAAACUCAUUGGAUAUUUGGAAAUCUUAAAAAGAAAUAAUAGUGUGGCUUUCUAUAUAUAUGUGUUACUUCUCAGAGACAGUAAAAUGGAAUGACCAAUGGAUCAGAGAUUCUUUAAGUCAAAGGGCACAAGCAUUUCAACUUCCCAGGAAAAUGACACACUUAAAAUUUCCACGAUCAGGAGCCUAAGUAUUGCACCGUAUUGCCUCCUUUGGGCAUCUCACUUCAGCAUCUUGUUGGUUCAUGUAUCAUUUGUAAACAUCAAACACACACACACAUACCCCCAUAGGAUUAAAAAACAACAACAACAACAACAUGGUGUUGUGUUUAUAGACUUAAGUCAAGAUUCUUGAAAUAGUGUGACACUAGAAGAGAAAGUAUCCAGAUGUUGCAUUUGAUAAAUAGUCUGGCUUUCUCUAAAGGAUAGACUUCAGGCAAAAGCAUCAUCCUCCC
This 645-nucleotide small RNA is filed under the name Pan troglodytes (chimpanzee). RNAcentral's name for it is "processed transcript". Lineage: Eukaryota; Metazoa; Chordata; Mammalia; Primates; Hominidae. The record is from RNAcentral.